Molecule: ribosomal RNA, 550 nt
Filed under: Cantharellus luteocomus
Lineage: Eukaryota; Fungi; Basidiomycota; Agaricomycetes; Cantharellales; Hydnaceae
Description: eukaryotic LSU rRNA
Rfam family: Eukaryotic large subunit ribosomal RNA
Source: RNAcentral
CCUCAGGUCAGAGAAGACUACCCGCUGGACUUAAGCAUAUCACUAAGCGGAGGAAAAGAAACUAACUAGGAUUCCCCCAGUAACUGUGAGUGAAGAGGGAAGAGCUCAUCAUUGGAAUCUGGCAGCGUCGCGCUGUCCGAGUUGUAGAUGAGAAGAGUAGGCCAUGUGGGCUGCAUGGUGUCCAAGUACAAUAGGCCGUCAGUGGGACAUCAUAGAGGGUGACAAUCCCGUCCUUGACACCAAUGUACGAGUCCUUUACGAUGCCUAUCUCGGAGAGUCGAGCAGUUUGGGAUUUGCUGCUUAAACAUGGGAGGUAGAUUCCUUCCAAAGCUAAAUACAGGCAAGAGACCGAUAGAGAACAAGUACCGCAAGGGAAAGAUGAAAUAGAACUCUGUGAAGGGAGUCAAAAGACGUGAAAUUGUUGCGAGAGAAGCGAUUCAAGUCAGCGUAGCUGGACCCAUCAAGCCUCGCGCUUUGGACCAGCUUUGCCAGCGGUCUUGUCCCUAGAGACUUGACUAAGGUGCCCUGCCCGGUCUGACGGGCAGACCUC